This 203-nucleotide long non-coding RNA is filed under the name Anser brachyrhynchus (Pink-footed goose). RNAcentral's name for it is "lncRNA (ENSABRG00000000957.1)". The record is from RNAcentral. Lineage: Eukaryota; Metazoa; Chordata; Aves; Anseriformes; Anatidae.
CUCUGUUCAGCUCUUCAAGUGGUUGUGGCUUGGAGUGAUCUUGGUUGCUUCUGGAUUUGUCACACAGUAUUCAUCUUGGGAUAAUAGUUUGAAACUUGUUCAUCUGUGCAGAAAGCUACAACUCACACACUGCUGAAGCAAGAACUCCUCCCUCCAGUGAUCACAUGAGCCCCUGUGAAUUCUUGACAGGGCCAGCAACGAGC